Molecule: long non-coding RNA, 612 nt
Organism: Lontra canadensis (Northern American river otter)
Lineage: Eukaryota; Metazoa; Chordata; Mammalia; Carnivora; Mustelidae
Exons: 2
Source: RefSeq, a predicted model, not a curated record
UCAGGAAAGGAAAGGAGCGAUUCCAAGCAAAUGGAGGAGCAUGCUUGAUUGUCUGAAGGUGAUCAGUAGAACUGGCUGAUUGAAGAUGAACAGGAAUGGUGUGGUCAGUGUUCAUUCAUUUAUUUAUUCAUUCCAUAAGUAACUCUGGGUAUAUAAAGGUUAACAAGCCAGUGUGGAAAAUAAAAAUCUUAAUAAAAUGUUUUUCAAAUUUCCAUCUAGUGUACUGAUACCUAGUUUUAAUGAUUGGACCCACUGCCAAAGAUCUAUGACUCCAUGAUGUCUCUGUUCUGAACCACACAGGAGACCUUUGCCCUCAGGUUGAAAGUGCACUCCACAUAUGAACAGAAAAAAUAGAUCUGUACCAAGUCAUGUCCCAGUGAAACUUUAGAACAUCCAGAGUAAAAAGAGAACAGUACAAACCUGAAGACAGAGAAGAGACUGCCUGCAACAGAAACAACAGUUAGUCGAGCAGCAUACUUCGUCCAGCAACAAUACAUGCUGCAGGAGGGUCACUGAUCCCUUCAAAGUGCUGAGAAGCCCCACCUGCUCCUCACACCAUGUAUGUGUGGAAUCCGUGCACAGAACACUGACAGCUCUCUCCAAAGAAUUAGG